Molecule: ribosomal RNA, 286 nt
Filed under: uncultured bacterium
Lineage: Bacteria
Description: partial 16S ribosomal RNA
Rfam family: Bacterial small subunit ribosomal RNA
Source: RNAcentral
GUGGAUUAGAUACCCUGGUAGUCCACGCCGUAAACGUUGGGCGCUAGGUGUGGGUCCCUUCCACGGGGUCUGUGCCGCAGCUAACGCAUUAAGCGCCCCGCCUGGGGAGUACGGCCGCAAGGCUAAAACUCAAAGGAAUUGACGGGGGCCCGCACAAGCGGCGGAGCAUGUUGCUUAAUUCGACGCAACGCGAAGAACCUUACCAAGGCUUGACAUGGCCUCAAAAGCCGCAGAGAUGCGGUGUCCGCAAGGGGGGGUCACAGGUGGUGCAUGGCCGUCGUCAGCU